CCCACACCCAAUCCAAGAACCUCUGCUGCCUGUAGCAGCUAUUUAAACAGUGGUAUGCAUAACACAGGGGCUUUGCUAUCUUUGGAGGCGGUUGUGUGGUGUCCCCAGAAUGGACUGGAGGUUCUAUAGUC
This is a small nucleolar RNA of Apodemus sylvaticus (European woodmouse), 131 nucleotides long. RefSeq annotates it as small nucleolar RNA SNORA68. The record is from RefSeq and is a predicted model, not a curated record. NCBI's taxonomy places the organism in Eukaryota, Metazoa, Chordata, Mammalia, Rodentia, Muridae. The transcript has a single exon.